GCCUGGGUGGCUCAGUCAGUUAAGUGUCUGACUUUGGCUCGGGUCAUGAUCUCACUGUCUGUGAGUUCGAGUCCCACAUCAGGCA
This is a non-coding RNA of Felis catus (domestic cat), 85 nucleotides long. NCBI's taxonomy places the organism in Eukaryota, Metazoa, Chordata, Mammalia, Carnivora, Felidae. The record is from Rfam.